CUCUAGGGUUGCAACGCCGGCUCCUCCUUUCCCUGCUGCCUGGCUGGCGGGCGGGCGGGGAUCGCCCAGCUGCUUCCCCGCGAUAAGGUGCAGGGUGUGAAAAGCGAGAGGAAUCGGGCCUUGGCUCUCCGCCCCCGCUGUCGGAAGCGGUGACCGCGCAGCCCACCCCUGGGUACGGCAGGGCUAGGGCUCGCCCCCGGGGCCAGCUGCGCAAAGCAGGGGGCGCGGAGCUCCCGCUCCAGGGGCGAGUGCCCACGCAGCAGCGCUGUGACACGCAGGGAGGUCGGGCCCGCAGCUGCCCCCCACCCCGGGGCCUGGCUGGCCGCGCUCAGGCUGGGGCAGGCGUUGUUUUGCGAUCCGGCUUUGCAGCGAGAGGCUGCGCGCCGGGAUCACGCGGAGGGAGGGGGGAGCGAGCUGCGGGCUGUGUGGGCGCGGGGCUGGGAGGGCGGCUCCGCCUGGCUGCCUGCUAAUCGCACGUUUUCCGCUGCUAAAAAGAAACCGAGAGACACCGUGGCCGAGCCGAGCGCUGGCUGUGUGGCUGUGCCAGGAAAAGAUGGCGCUGUCUCCCCUCCCCCCCUCGCUCGCUCGCUCGCUCGGCUUCCUCUUCCUCCCCGCCAGGCCAGCUGAGCCGGGCAGGUUUCCGAGCCCCCUUGGUCGGCCGGACCCCACUAGCCUCCCAGCCGCGCGGCGCGUCCCCGCCUUUCCCAGCCCGGUAUUGGCGGGUCCCCUUUUCUCUGCAAGGCUCGCCUUUGUCUGGCGCGGCUGCUCUCUGGCCGGGGAGGCAGUUUGGACCGGGGGGGGGGACUCCCCCCGCAGCUUCUUCCCUCCCCCCAUUUCCUUCCUCUCCCCACGGGCAACAGGGAAGGGGAACCUUUGGCGGGGGAUCUGGCUGGGUCUGAGACACAACGUGACCUCGCUGGGCUCCAGCUGGCUGCUGCUGCUGCCCUGGGCUUUGGGCCAGACAAUGUCCACAGGCUUCAGAAGAAGAUAGACUGUUCCUCAAAAUGGUGUACAUCUGAUCUCCAUGCUUCUUCCCUUCUGUUUUCUCCCUAUACUGUGAGAUCAGACCACUUCAGCAUGAGGGUAGGUGGGGCCUCAAGUGGAGGAAACAAUGGGCUGGGCUGGGAGGAGUGGGCAGAAGAAUCAGAGAAAGGGGAAGGAGAUAAGAAGCACAUGUUCCUUGGUGUGGGGAUGACUGCAGAGUGUCUGUCUUCAUCUGAAACUCCUGACUGGAUCUGGCAUUAAAAUGAAGGUAAUAGCCCACAGUUCCCUGCACAGAUCUCAGAAGAACCUCAAGGGAGAUUUGAAAAUGCCACCAGGGUAUCAUGGGACAGUAGUGGAGGACUAUAUGAACCACUCCAUUCUGAACCAUUGUAGUACAAUCUGCACUGGCAUUAAACCAGUGCGGGCUGAACUGGAUCAGAUUGAACUGGCACCCUGUUGAAAGCAUGUUUAAUCCAGGGAUUUGGAGCUGUGCUCCAGCUCCGCUCCAGCUCCAGGCAAAAACCUGCAGCUCCACUGCUCUGGAGCUGCUCCGUGCUCCAGCUCCGGGCUCUGCUCCAAAGCCCUGGUUUAAUCCAUCUAAAGCAUGCAUAUAAACCAGGUGGAUCUGAUGUGUUUUACAAGUGUGCUAAAAGGACCAGGUGAUUCUUGGCAAGGUAAAUUUCUCUAGAGUAGUCAAGGCCCAAACUCGUGGUAUAGGCUAGGGUAGUUAGGUUGGACUGUGAAGGCCGGGGCAAGAAUUUUGAAAAUUUUCUGCCUCUUAGUCUGCCAUUUUCUUUCUAAAUGCUACUUCUUUAUGAUAAUCAUCAUAUUUAAAAAGAAAAUAGACAAUUUUUAUUGUAUUGGUGCAACCCUAGUUAUUUCUGAUGAUGUUGAAUGUCCAUGGCAAAAUAACAGCUCUCUUCAGGAGGCCAGCACAAGGUGCGUAGACCGUAGAGGUGAAUUUCAGCUGUAGCCCUUUUCAUUACUCAAAUGUUCAGCUACUGUCUUAUCAGUGAACACUGAGACUUGGAGUGGACACUGCCGAGAACAAGAAAGAGGGGCGCUGUCUUCUACCAUCUUGAAGAAGGUUCACUGCUAGGGACUUGCUCUGUUGCUCGUUUACUCUACCUCCAGAUUCUUCAUGUGCUCCCUUGCUCACGGGUGUGUGUUCUCACACUCUAAUAUACACAAUCUAUUUCCGUGUCAACAUACACACGUUUGUUUCCAUGUCAUAGAUUACAUUACAUUUUAUCCCAGAUAAAGUUGUUUUAACACCUUUUUUGUGUUUAUGGCUCUAUCUUAAAUUGAUGCACAUAGUCUCUUCCAGUCAGUGGCAGCAACAUAUGAUCAAGGAUCAACUGUUCUUGCAACCCUUUCAGUUACAUUGCACACCUGGUCUUUGUGCUUUGGACAAAGUCAGUUUUCUCUCCCAUUACAGCUAUUUCUACAGCUCUGGCACAAGACACAUCUGUGGCACAAGCGCUAACCUGGGGUGCAACGAGGGCCCUUGAGUCAUUUGUCUCUUAGCCAGCGCUGUCUGUUCUGCUCUGCUGAGGAUGACCCACUCUUGCUAGGUGUUCUUAAGCAAUGUACAGAGAUAUGGGGCUGGAUAUAGAUUUUUGCCUCUCUCUCUGCUGGCUUAGGUUUAGUAGCUGUACUCAUAAGGCCCUUUUGUUUGUUCGUUUGCAAGGAUUUGUCAAUGGCUGAUGUCUUCCUUGCCUCCAACCGAUAAAUACCCUCCAUUCUUUAAACGGGACCCUCUGUUAUAUAGGUAGCCUCCUAUGAAGAGGCAGGGAUUUCUCCCCUUCCUACAAAAGGGCUCUGAAACACAGGGAGGAGAGAAUCCCCCUCGCAGCACGGUAACUGCUGGGGUGCCAGCCGGUAGAGAAUGUUGUCCAUUCGCAGCUAAUGAUCGCCCCAGGCACUUGGUGAUGGAAAAUCCGGGAAGGCUGCAGAACUUGCACAGCGCUGCCCAAAAUAAUUGUACGGACCAGUUCCACGUGUCCAAUUUGUGCAAGAACGUUCUCUCGCCCCCCCCAGCCCCCCCUCCCCCCGCCAGGAGAGUUUUUAAUGCCUUUAUGUGGUUCAGCAAAACUAGGAAUUUUAAACAGGAUUAUUUGUAACAAGUGCGAAGCUAACCAGCGAGCUCCUCCAAUGUGCUAGGCAGGCAUGAGAAGUCACUUUGCAAGGAACAGAUAAUUCACACGUUCUGCGCUUUCCCCCUGAACCUUCGCAUAUGGAAAGAGAGAGGAGCGCGGAUAAAACUGUAAUCGACGGAAAGACGGGAGCCGGGAGCGACGUUAGCAGGAACACUUGGGUGCCAGACAAAAAGGCUGAGGGCAACUCUCUGACGAUGUUCAAGUGAAAUCAUAAGGCUAAAUCUUGCCCGCGUUACUGCAGCCAAUGUGAUUCUUUGCAGUGCUGGAGCCAGCUGAAUUUGGCCCUGAGUCUAUUUCCCCCGAUAUUUUUCUUCUGUCCAGUUUCUUUAAGCCUCAGCAAGUUAACAUUACAAAUUAGAAGACCCACCCCCCACCCUAUAGCACUUUCCUGAAAUGAUCCAGUGGCCUAGUUUUUUUCCAUCAUAAUCCUUAAAACCAUUAGAUUUUCAGUGAUGCCCUAUCGAGAUAAUCAAUCAACAACCAGAGAAGUCCGGUUUGUGGCCAUUAUAUCUGCUUGCCUGAGUUUCAUAGCAAUAAGCCGCCGAAGGAACAUGCUGUUAUCCUUUGAUGUGUGACACUGUCUAUGAGAGAAGCCAAACUACUGUCUGUGCAUGGAGUCUUUUCAAAGGAAGCGUUUUGAUUGUACUAGUUCCUUAUUUAGGUAGCUAAGAGGAGGAAGUAGCAAGCUUGGGCUACCUCAGAGGUGUUUAUUUUAAUUAUCUUUUGGCUGUAACUUCCAUCCUUCUUCUUUGUAUUAUCGCUGCUAAAGUUUAUUUGCAGAACUAACUCGAAUUAUUUUUUGUUUUUGUUCUCCACCGUGUGCUUGUGUUACUUUUGUACCAUGUGCCUUUGUCAGUGACCACCCCCCCAUUGCUGUAUUUACUUUAGCUCAAAUUAAUUCUUAGUUCAAGAGGACAGUGUGUACAUUAACCCUCUGGGUGUUUGUCUUUUUUUUUUUUAGCCGGAAGACCCUUCUGAUCAUGUAGAAAUUCACAGAUGUUUAGGUCAGAGUGACCAUUCAGUCUGACUCGUAUCCACAAGCUGAUUUCACCAAGUGAUUUCUGCAACCAGUUCAACACUCUGUAGUCAGAUGGGGUCUGAUUCUCCUCUCACAGAGAUCUAAAUCCGAGUGACAUCAUUCAAGGCAAUGGAGUCACUCCAGUGUAGAAAUUGGUGUGAAGAGACUCAGGCCUUCAGUCUCACAGGAACUCCUCUCCAGUUUGGCUAGUUUAAAUUCUACAUGAGGUUGAGAACGUUUACAGAUUUGAAACAGCUGCUGGUCUUGCUUUGGCUUGCCUGCUAAAAUAUGCCGAUCUCCUUUUAAUCUGUUUCAUAUUCACAAAUUAAGCACUUAGUUUAGGCAAUAAAUCAUUAGGCAGUUUACGAGACUAGCAUGAGACAAACAAGUGAAAAGGGAAAACAAUCACCUACAAGUAUAUUAAAGGUAACUGGAAAGACGCGUUUGGAAAACCCUGCCUGCAUUCCCGUGGGUAUAUAAUGCACAGAGCAAAUCCUGUAAAUUCUGACAUCCUGCCAAGAAACACUUUCCCGCGCCCCUUGGACGGCGCUCGUCCUAAGAAAACUGCAAGCAAAGAAAAUGUGGCUGUUCCAGACAGUUGUCCCCCGCUUCACGCAGGCUCCAUAAAUUUAGAAGAUUCCAGUCUCCUGCUUUGUUUGCUCAGGUAUUGUCUCCCCGGGAUUGUUAUACCUGAAAUGUGCUAUCCAAGCAGCAGGCUGGAAACAAUGACUCACUCGAAAUGCGCAGAUAACCUUGCAUGACACAUUCAGAUCAGACCGGCCUAUUCGUUUUUUUCUUCUCUGCAAAAGUGCAGAUUUUUCUCAAGAUUUCACGACAUUGCUGCAUAUUCCCCUCCGUGGUUUGCAUCCGAGGCGCUUCCUGAUGCCCAGGGACCCCUGUGCAGCAAUUGUCGAAUCGAUUAGCUCCACUCUUAAAGGAACCCGAGAGGAGACAGAAACCGAAGAGCGAAUUUCUCUCCGGAAAGAGACCUCCUUUUGAGCCUGCUUGCCGGGAUCGCAGCGCGUCUUCUGGACUUCUCAAAGUUCCCUGCGCAGGAAAAGCCUCGAGGCAGAGAUGUGGCUUACUCCGGGAGCCAGCCUCACGUUUGGCUGCCUGGCCACAACACAAAGGCUGCCAGGAAAUGUGCUGGGAGGAGGACUUGGAAGCAGCACAAACCAGGAAAGGGGUCAGAUUUUCACCUCAGUACAUUUGCUUCCAUUAUCCGAUUCAACCCCGCACUGUACAGACUGGGGCGCCCCUUUUACACCCCAACAUUGUGUAGAAAGACGGGAUCUCAAGCCGAAAGGCAGCCUCGGAUGGUGAGUGCGAUCUCCUACAGGCUGCGUGAUUUCCCGAACCGCAGAACAGACCCUCCCCUCCAAGGGGAGUCCGGGCAGCCUGCUUUGCCUGGCCAAGGUGAGGAGCUGUCAGGCUCUAGUUUACCUGAGCCAGAAUCCGGCAUGGGGAGAGAUGCGCACUAGGCCGGGCUCAGCCUCGCUCCAUUUCCACGUAACCCCGUGGUCUCCCCCCCGACGCCGACGGCAAAUGUGAGGGGCAGGCGCCCAGCACCAUUCAGUUUGGAAAGCUGAAAGCUGAUUGCCCUUUGCAAUCAAAUACGUGCCUGAGCUGUCCGCCCGCAGUACCUCCAGGGUUUGCGUGGACCUGUGACUUACUCCUAAUCAGCCGGUUUCAAGGUGUGAACAAGUCUAAUCCUAUGUACCUAUCUGAGCCACCUGAAAGAACAACCCCCUCCCCCACCGCCAGAGCCACGAGAACAGCCUCCUGUCAUACUUUUUCAAUAUUUACGCCAUCGUCCCAGGGUAACGCUAUCCGUCUAGCUCAAGGACGGGUAUUUCCAGAAAUCUGCCACUGACCAGGGAUCCCUGCCCUUCGGCCCCAGACAAAAGACCAGUGGCAACACUCUGGUUCUGAAACUAUUUCAACAGAGACCUGGGGGUUUUUUUUGUUUGUUUGGUUUUUUUUUUUUUUUUUUUAAGGGCUCCGUGCUGGGUUAGCCUUUUAACCCCGCAUUUCCUAGUUCAAUCCGGACUCCAGCACGCCAAGCACUCCGAAGGCAAAUACUGUACAUGGUUCCCAGCCCCGACGGAAAAACAUUAAAGGGAGGGAUGAAGAGAUCCGGGGGGGGAGGGGGGGUCGGCACAACAGAGAGGGAGCGGGAGGGGAGAGAAUGGCGAUUUAAAGGGACUCACAUGAAAGAGAGCAACACAGACCUGUGAGCGUCCGCCGUGUGAAAUUCGAUGAGAUCUCUUCGCGGAGAGGCGCUGUCACAGACUAUUUAUCUCUCGCCAGAGUGGAGGCUCCGGUUCCCACAUCGCCUGUGAGUAACAAUGGCAGCGAUCGGCAGCUUUUCACGCGCUUCACUGAAUGAAUGGAUUGCGGAAGAUGCCUGUGCUCCGCUCAGAUGGCUUGACUGAUUCAUCCCUUUCGUACAGCGCCCGCUCGCUCCUGCCUCUCUGCCAAGGGGUCUGACCCGUUGGCCUGAACAACCCCCCGUCCCAAUUUUCCAAUUUCUUUGACUUUGGAAGUCUGCCAGAAAUGUCGGUGUGGCUGAAGCUUGACACAGCGAUCGCAGCCCGGAGUGCUUUCCCCCCCUCACCCGCCUCCACCUCCCAGCCCGAUCGCCUAAAUUAACUUUAAGCUAGUUUGGCCAUUUUUCAGUUUGAAAAGAAGGGGAAAGUGCAGGUCAUUGGAGCAUAUUGGGGAUGGGUGAGGGGUUUUUUUAAUUGGAAACGACAGGUAUUGGGGCUUGGAAAGCAUUUGCUGCACAGUGCACUUGGGCUGCUUUCCCCCCAGGCAUUAUUUCUUUAAUUCGUGUGUUUGUUGUCUGCGUGCACUGGAAAGCGAAGAGUUAUACCGACUGUUUUGUAGUUGGGGGUAUGCAGAACUCAAUGGACAACAAGGGUCUUAGAAGCCCUUCCAAACUUUGUCCUCAAUAUUUCACAAACCAAAGAUUCGACAAUACACACGGACCCACUGUGGUCUAUAGCGAUGGUCCUCGGCUCUAAAAUACGCUUAAUACGCUGUCAAUGUACAAUAAAUAUUUUUUCUUUACAUAACAUUAAUUAGUUGGUGCCUUUAAGGUAAUCUGAGCAUUCAUUUCCUCUGGGAAAUGGGAUCUGACUUAAACCAACUACAUCAAUAAAAGUAAAUUGCUAUGGAGCCCCAUCAUUCCCAUUAAAGGCGGAAGGUACAUGACAAGGUGGGUGAGGUAAUAUCUUGUAUUGGACCAACUUUUGUUGGCGAAAGAGACAAGCUUUGGAGCUUACACAGUGAGGGCAGACAAUGGAAGAUCCCAGCAAUACCUAGGCUCAGAGGACAGUAGAUGAAAUCCUAAACCUCUACCCAGUGGUUAUUAGCUUGGAUGGAUUUAAAAGAGCCCCCCCCUUUAUACUCAGAUUGCAUGUUCAUUUUAUUCACCAUCAAAACUUGGGGUUCCCUUUCUGAGCCCAGCAUAACACUUUCAAACGUCCUGCCCAUUUUCUGCUGAGUUUUAUCAUCCGGUGGGCUUGUGGCUGGCUAAAGCAGUAUAUAGCGAUUAGGCCCCUAUGGUGGGAGUACGAUGAUCAAAUGCUGUCUGUUUAAUUAAACGGAAUCCUCUGUCGA
This is a long non-coding RNA of Chelonia mydas (Green sea turtle), 7785 nucleotides long. RefSeq lists it as uncharacterized. The transcript is spliced from 2 exons. Lineage: Eukaryota; Metazoa; Chordata; Testudines; Cheloniidae. The record is from RefSeq and is a predicted model, not a curated record.